GACGAACGCUGGCGGCGUGCCUAAUACAUGCAAGUCGAACGAACUCUGGUAUUGAUUGGUGCUUGCAUCAUGAUUUACAUUUGAGUGAGCGGCGAACUGGUGAGUAACACGUGGGAAACCUGCCCAGAAGCGGGGGAUAACACCUGGAAACAGAUGCUAAUACCGCAUAACAACUUGGACCGCAUGGUCCGAGCUUGAAAGAUGGCUUCGGCUAUCACUUUUGGAUGGUCCCACGGCGUAUUAGCUAGAUGGUGGGGUAACGGCUCACCAUGGCAAUUAUACGUAGCCGACCUGAGAGUGUAAUCGGCCACAUUGGGACUGAGACACGGCCCAAACUCCUACGGGAGGCAGCAGUAGGGAAUCUUCCACAAUGGACGAAAGUCUGAUGGAGCAACGCCGCGUGAGUGAAGAAGGGUUUCGGCUCGUAAAACUCUGUUGUUAAAGAAGAACAUAUCUGAGAGUAACUGUUCAGGUAUUGACGGUAUUUAACCAGAAAGCCACGGCUAACUACGUGCCAGCCGCCGCCGCGG
RNAcentral lists this ribosomal RNA (530 nucleotides) under uncultured bacterium. RNAcentral's name for it is "partial 16S ribosomal RNA". It matches the Rfam family "Bacterial small subunit ribosomal RNA", at positions 28 to 523 of the family's 1533-position model. The record is from RNAcentral.